UACAGAGGGGGCAAGCGUUGUUCGGAAUUACUGGGCGUAAAGGGCGCGUAGGCGGCCUGUUAAGUCGAACGUGAAAUCCCCGGGCUCAACCCGGGAACUGCGUCCGAUACUGGUAGGCUUGAAUCCGGGAGAGGGAUGCGGAAUUCCAGGUGUAGCGGUGAAAUGCGUAGAUAUCUGGGGGAACACCGGUGGCGAAGGCGGCAUCCUGGACCGGCAUUGACGCUGAGGCGCGAAAGCCAGGGGAGCAAACGGG
Molecule: ribosomal RNA, 253 nt
Filed under: uncultured bacterium
Lineage: Bacteria
Description: partial 16S ribosomal RNA
Rfam family: Bacterial small subunit ribosomal RNA
Source: RNAcentral